GACGAACGCUGGCGGCGUGCCUAACACCUGCAAGUCGAGCGGAGAUAUAGGAGCUUGCUUUUAUAUCUUAGCGGCGGACGGGUGAGUAACGCGUGGGUAGCCUGCCUUACACAGGUGGAUAACACAGGGCAACUUGUGCUAAUACCGCGUACGACAACGACCUCGCAUCAUGAUGUAGUAAAAGGCGAAUUGCGGUGUAAGAUGGACCCGCCUCCGAUUAGCUAGUUGGUGAGGUAACGGCCCACCAAGGCGACGAUCGGUAGCCGAACUGAGAGGUUGGUCGGCCACAUUGGGACUGAGGCACGGCCCAGACUCCUACGGGAGGCAGCAGUGGGGAAUGUUGCGCAAUGGGGGAAACCCUGACGCAGCAACGCCGCUUGAAGGAUGAAGGUUUUCGGAUUGUAAACUUCUUUAGUCGGGGACGAAAAAAUGACGGUACCCGAAGAAUAAGCCACGGCUAACUACGUGCCAGCCGCCGCUGUAA
RNAcentral lists this ribosomal RNA (484 nucleotides) under uncultured bacterium. RNAcentral's name for it is "partial 16S ribosomal RNA". It matches the Rfam family "Bacterial small subunit ribosomal RNA", at positions 28 to 523 of the family's 1533-position model. The record is from RNAcentral.